This 118-nucleotide ribosomal RNA is filed under the name Crossorhombus kobensis (Kobe flounder). RNAcentral's name for it is "partial 16S rRNA". Lineage: Eukaryota; Metazoa; Chordata; Actinopteri; Pleuronectiformes; Bothidae. The record is from RNAcentral.
UACCUACUAGCUAGCCUACCCACCCACAUACAACAACCGACUUAAUACCCCCUAAUAGGCAACUUAAGACUAAUUAAAACAUUUUCCCUCCCCAGUACAGGAGAUGAAAACGGACCCA